GAAAUGCCGUAUAGAAAAGCACCAUUGUUUUUACAGUUUGUAGUAACUUUUUAAAGAUUUUAUGGAAAGGAAUUUUGUCUAUAGUAAGACAUUGUAGUAAUGGUCCGAAUAAUCACUGCAUUUUUAAACACAAAGUUGAACACAAAUUACAUUUCUUUAAACUUAAAAAAUUAUUAUGCACAAAGGUAGAGUUGCAGGUUACAUGAGCCUUUAAUACAGAUGAGUCGAAAUCAAGUGAACACUGCCUCCACACUGAGUUUUGUUCUGUAUUUGAUAGUAAAAAUGAUUUAAAAAUAAAAGUGGUUUUGUUAG
Molecule: long non-coding RNA, 312 nt
Filed under: Bos taurus (domestic cattle)
Lineage: Eukaryota; Metazoa; Chordata; Mammalia; Artiodactyla; Bovidae
Description: long non-coding RNA NONBTAT018640
Source: RNAcentral